UACGUAGGGUGCAAGCGUUGUCCGGAAUUACUGGGCGUAAAGAGCGCGCAGGCGGUCGUUCAAGUCGAGUGUGAAAGCCCCCGGCUCAACUGGGGAGGGUCAUUCGAUACUGAUCGACUCGAAGGCAGGAGAGGGAAGUGGAAUUCCCGGUGUAGUGGUGAAAUGCGUAGAUAUCGGGAGGAACACCAGUGGCGAAGGCGACUUCCUGGCCUGUUCUUGACGCUGAGGCGCGAAAGCCAGGGGAGCAAACGGG
Molecule: ribosomal RNA, 253 nt
Filed under: uncultured bacterium
Lineage: Bacteria
Description: partial 16S ribosomal RNA
Rfam family: Bacterial small subunit ribosomal RNA
Source: RNAcentral